AGUAUGACUCUCGGCAAUGGAUAUCUUGGCUCUUGCAUCGAUGAAGAACAUAAUGAAAUAUGAUACAUGGUGUGAAUUGUAGAAUCCCAUGAACCAUCAAGUCUUUGAAUGCAAGUUGCACCCGAGGCCAUCUGGCCGAGGGCACGCCUGCCUAGGCAUCACGC
This 164-nucleotide ribosomal RNA is filed under the name Raphia farinifera. RNAcentral describes it as "5.8S ribosomal RNA". It matches the Rfam family "5.8S ribosomal RNA". From Rfam's summary of the family: 5.8S ribosomal RNA (5.8S rRNA) is a component of the large subunit of the eukaryotic ribosome. It is transcribed by RNA polymerase I as part of the 45S precursor that also contains 18S and 28S rRNA. The record is from RNAcentral. Lineage: Eukaryota; Viridiplantae; Streptophyta; Magnoliopsida; Arecales; Arecaceae.